UUACCUUGUUACGACUUCACCCCAAUCACCAACCCCACCUUCGACGGCUGCCUCCUUGCGGUUAGCUCACCGGCUUCGGGUGUUGUCAGCUUUCGUGGUGUGACGGGCGGUGUGUACAAGGCCCGGGAACGUAUUCACCGCAGUAUGCUGACCUGCGAUUACUAGCGAUUCCGACUUCAUGUAGUCGAGUUGCAGACUACAAUCCGAACUGAGACCGGCUUUCUCGGUUUUGCUCCGCCUCACGGCUUCGCUUCCGUCUGUACCGGCCAUUGUAGUACGUGUGUAGCCCAGGACAUAAGGGGCAUGAUGAUUUGACGUCAUCCCCACCUUCCUCCGUUUUGUCAACGGCAGUCACAUUAGAGUUCCCGACCUAACUCGCUGGCAACUAAUGUUAGGGGUUGCGCUCGUUGCGGGACUUAACCCAACAUCUCACGACACGAGCUGACGACAACCAUGCACCACCUGUCUCUCUGUUAUCCCGAAGGAUAAACACUCUAUCUCUAGAGCUGUCAGAGGAUGUCAAGCCCUGGUAAGGUUCUUCGCGUUGCGUCGAAUUAAACCACAUACUCCACCGCUUGUGCGGGCCCCCGUCAAUUCCUUUGAGUUUCAGUGUUGCCACCGUACUCCCAGGGGGGGUGCUUAUUUUGUUAACUGCGGGACUGGUGGGGGUGGUAACACCCACCACCAGCACU
RNAcentral lists this ribosomal RNA (692 nucleotides) under uncultured bacterium. RNAcentral describes it as "partial 16S ribosomal RNA". The record is from RNAcentral.